CUGUAAACCAUUUACAUUACUUUUACCCGUAGUAGGCAGGUGUCAGUUUGCAUGUGCGUUCUGUGAUAGCCUUGUGGGACACUGACCUGCUUUUUACUUUUGCCCCUCCAAAGCUUUACUCAGGAUUGGGUCAGACCAUAGAAUUUUCACUGUUGGUUUCCUAGAUAUAGCAUUUGCAAUUUUAAUUUUGAUAAAAGGACCAGCUGGGAGUCACCGUCAGCAUAGAGUGCUAUUUUUACUAACAACUGAUGUACAAUACAAUAUGCUGUAUUUGUUCUUCUUCAGGGAAUAUUGGAACACCAAAACCCCUGGUACCUACCAUUGCAUUUGUUGUGACACACCUUUAUUCGAGUAAGAGUUUGUAUUUUGUUUAGGCACUUUUCAUAAGAAAUCUUCAUUGGAUCUUCAAUAACCUUGAUCAACUGCUAUUCUUCCUCUAGAUCAUCAACCAAAUUUGACAGUGGUACUGGUUGGCCAUCAUAUUAUCAGCCCAUAGGAAGCAACAUGAAGUCAAAGUUGGAUUUGUCAAUUAUUUUCAUGCCUCGCCAGGAGGUCCUUUGUGCCGUAUGUGAUGCUCAUCUUGGCCAUGUCUUUGAUGAUGGCCCACCACCCACAGGAAAGCGUUACUGUAUCAACAGGUAAAUUCUUCCAAUCAAUUGGUGGCCUUCAAAUUUUUACCUGAAAUAUGUAAUGUUAUGCUUAACAUCUUUUUCAUACUAUUUUGCAGUGCUUCCUUAAAACUGAAGCCAAAAUAGGUAUGAAUAUCAAGCCAGAAUACCAGAAUGAGCUACAUGUAAAUGAACUUCUACUGUUUACACUUGUUAAUCAAUUUUUCUCUGUGAACUACACUUCUAUGACAAAAUUUUAAUAUUUUUUAUUGCAAAGUAUAUAUCCAAUACGCUUUGAAUGAUGUCUAUGGCCUCUGGAGAAGGAAAAUCAUGAGCUGAAUAGGGGACCUAAGUUUAUGGAAUUUAGGUUUGGGUCUUUUAUCGAGAUGGAGUAAAACCCACAGAAUGAUGUCUAUGGGGUAUAGUUGUAAUUAUCUAAUAUAUUGUGAGUUAUGUCCUAGAAAAGGGCAAAGAGGAUUCUGUUUGUUCUUUCUUCCAUUGAUGUUCUGGGAACAUAUUACUCGAUUUUCUGUAGUUGCAUGUUGGGCUGUAUAAUUUCAUCUAUUGGCAGGGAGGUUAAAAUUUGCAACAUUAACAAACCCAAAGUUGCUUAAGCAGGCAUGCAGCGGAACAGAAAAUUUCUUCUCUCAGGGUUGUCUUAUAAAUUUUACAAGAUUCCUUCUACUGUAUGAAAGAUGCAACCUCUUUAUAUCUAGAAACUUCUGUUUAUUUUUUUUAUAAAUAUGAAGAGGCAGGCUGUAUCAAACAAAUAAAUUAUUCUCUUAUUCUUUGCACACGCACCAGUAUCACUACUUAGACCUCGCAAGUAGGGAUAUCUAGAUUCGGAAGGAUCCGGAAAAUUUGGAUUUAGAAAAAUUCGGAUCCGUAUAUUAAAAAAUACGGAUCCAGAUCCUUAAAAUUAAGAUCCGUGCAUAUUCAAAUAUAAAUCUGGAUGUAAAAUGCAUUUGGAAAAUCGGAUAUCUGGAUCCACAUUAUUUUUCAAUGAAAUUAUUUAUUAAAUUAAAAUUAAAUAAAAUAUAUAUAAUAAAAAAAAACAUAAUAGGACUAAUUAAAAAAAUAUAGAAGUUAAAUUAAAUUGAGAAAUAUAUUGGGAUUUGUAUUAUUUUUAAUUAAAUUAUUUAUUAAAUUAAAAUUAAAUGACAAAAUAUAUAAGCUAAAUGAAAAACAUAGUAGGAUUAAUUAAAAAUAUAGAAGUUAAAUUAAAUUAAGAAAUUAUUGAGAUUUGCUUUAUUUUCUAAUUAAAUUAUUUAUACUAUAAAAUUAAAUGAAAAAAUAUAUAAAUUAAAUGAAAAACAUAAUAGCAUUAAUUAAAAAAUAUAGAAAUUAAUUUAAAUUAAGAAAUAUAUUGGGAUCCGCUAACAACUGAUGUACAAUACAAUAUGCUGUAUUUGUUCUUCUUCAGGGAAUAUUGGAACACCAAAACCCCUGGUACCUACCAUUGCAUUUGUUGUGACACACCUUUAUUCGAGUAAGAGUUUGUAUUUUGUUUAGGCACUUUUCAUAAGAAAUCUUCAUUGGAUCUUCAAUAACCUUGAUCAACUGCUAUUCUUCCUCUAGAUCAUCAACCAAAUUUGACAGUGGUACUGGUUGGCCAUCAUAUUAUCAGCCCAUAGGAAGCAACAUGAAGUCAAAGUUGGAUUUGUCAAUUAUUUUCAUGCCUCGCCAGGAGGUCCUUUGUGCCGUAUGUGAUGCUCAUCUUGGCCAUGUCUUUGAUGAUGGCCCACCACCCACAGGAAAGCGUUACUGUAUCAACAGGUAAAUUCUUCCAAUCAAUUGGUGGCCUUCAAAUUUUUACCUGAAAUAUGUAAUGUUAUGCUUAACAUCUUUUUCAUACUAUUUUGCAGUGCUUCCUUAAAACUGAAGCCAAAAUAGGUAUGAAUAUCAAGCCAGAAUACCAGAAUGAGCUACAUGUAAAUGAACUUCUACUGUUUACACUUGUUAAUCAAUUUUUCUCUGUGAACUACACUUCUAUGACAAAAUUUUAAUAUUUUUUAUUGCAAAGUAUAUAUCCAAUACGCUUUGAAUGAUGUCUAUGGCCUCUGGAGAAGGAAAAUCAUGAGCUGAAUAGGGGACCUAAGUUUAUGGAAUUUAGGUUUGGGUCUUUUAUCGAGAUGGAGUAAAACCCACAGAAUGAUGUCUAUGGGGUAUAGUUGUAAUUAUCUAAUAUAUUGUGAGUUAUGUCCUAGAAAAGGGCAAAGAGGAUUCUGUUUGUUCUUUCUUCCAUUGAUGUUCUGGGAACAUAUUACUCGAUUUUCUGUAGUUGCAUGUUGGGCUGUAUAAUUUCAUCUAUUGGCAGGGAGGUUAAAAUUUGCAACAUUAACAAACCCAAAGUUGCUUAAGCAGGCAUGCAGCGGAACAGAAAAUUUCUUCUCUCAGGGUUGUCUUAUAAAUUUUACAAGAUUCCUUCUACUGUAUGAAAGAUGCAACCUCUUUAUAUCUAGAAACUUCUGUUUAUUUUUUUUAUAAAUAUGAAGAGGCAGGCUGUAUCAAACAAAUAAAUUAUUCUCUUAUUCUUUGCACACGCACCAGUAUCACUACUUAGACCUCGCAAGUAGGGAUAUCUAGAUUCGGAAGGAUCCGGAAAAUUUGGAUUUAGAAAAAUUCGGAUCCGUAUAUUAAAAAAUACGGAUCCAGAUCCUUAAAAUUAAGAUCCGUGCAUAUUCAAAUAUAAAUCUGGAUGUAAAAUGCAUUUGGAAAAUCGGAUAUCUGGAUCCACAUUAUUUUUCAAUGAAAUUAUUUAUUAAAUUAAAAUUAAAUAAAAUAUAUAUAAAAAAAAAAACAUAAUAGGACUAAUUAAAAAAAUAUAGAAGUUAAAUUAAAUUGAGAAAUAUAUUGGGAUUUGUAUUAUUUUUAAUUAAAUUAUUUAUUAAAUUAAAAUUAAAUGACAAAAUAUAUAAGCUAAAUGAAAAACAUAGUAGGAUUAAUUAAAAAUAUAGAAGUUAAAUUAAAUUAAGAAAUUAUUGAGAUUUGCUUUAUUUUCUAAUUAAAUUAUUUAUACUAUAAAAUUAAAUGAAAAAAUAUAUAAAUUAAAUGAAAAACAUAAUAGCAUUAAUUAAAAAAUAUAGAAAUUAAUUUAAAUUAAGAAAUAUAUUGGGAUCCGCUUUAUUUUAUGUGGAUUUGUGGUCUUUUUAUAAUUUUAUUUGUGGAUUUGUGGUAAUGCUAGACUUGAAUUUAUGUUAUUCUUGAUGUUUGAUUUAUGUUGUGGUAUUUUUAUUUGUAACUUUAUAGUGUUGUAUGUUAUUCUAGGUAUUAAAUUGUUGAUUGUUAAAUUAUGAUUGAAUUUUAUUUGAUAUUAUUAGGUGAAUUGUUGAAUUUUAAAUUAUUGAAUUGUAAUUUUUACGGAUCUAUAUAUUCGGAAUAUCCACUCGCAAUCUGUGCAGAUAUUACUUUAUCCAGAUCUUCAUUUUUUUUUUUAGAUCCGUAAGUGGAUUUGGAUAUAAGAAUAUCAAUCCGGAUCCAGAUUUUACCAUCCCUACUCGCUAGGGUUGGGUGUUCGGAACCCGAAAUUAUUUCGGGUUUGUUUUGGUUCAGAUUAGCUAUUAGAAGGAGUCCAAUCAAUUUUCAUUUUGAACCGAAUUAAAAACUCAAUCGGGUUUGUCCUUAAAAAUAAAAAAAUAAAAACAAGGGGUAUGAAAGGCAAAAAUAAAAACACGUAAUCCCCAAUACCCUUCUCCUUAUUGUAAAACAUAUGCUAUAAGCGCUAACCCUAAGCUAAGAAACAUACAUGCUACACCGCUGCCAUUGUCACCUGCUUUCAGGUGUUUUGGUGCUGGCUCAAUCUUUGGUCAACCGAAGCUGCAAUUAUUUCUAUUGCUUAAGUUCUUCAGUUAUUUGAUUCCUUGUGUCACGGCCCGCUUAUAUUCCACAUUGUGUUGUGCAGCCUUAAGUGCCAAAUUCACACUCUCUUAACCCUAAGUCAGCUUUACACUCAAAUUUGCUGCUGGAUUCGAAAAUUAGAAUGAAUAUUCACUCAAACUCACACAAGAUGGGAGGAAAGGACUUGUAUUGCUUGAUGAAAUGCUUACAAGCUAUGUGUGUUGUGUUGCUUGUUAUGUUUUGUGUAUCUUGGCCAAAUGAGGCCCCCUCCUAUAUAUAGAGUACAAGAGAGUGGGUUAAUGCUCAGCUACCACCUACCACCUACCACCUACCCAUAAUAAGUAUAUGAGAAAUAUCUACACACUACAUGAGUCUAGAAUCAUCUAUGGGUCAGGCCAUGCUACUUGAAGGCUUGGGCCAUGACAUUCUCCCGCACCUAAUAAGGAGACGUCCUUGUUGACUCGCUGUGGAAGUCCUUGAUCGUGUUUUAAAACUGCCACAAAUCAUUUGCGAGCUCCCUACUUACUUUGCUCUCGGGUAGUCCCUUCCACUUGACGAAGUACUCUUGGCAUGGCGGAAAACUCUUCUUCCGAACAACACGAUUAGCCAAGAUGGUAUCUACUUCUUUGUCUUACACCCUCAUGUUACCGAGUGGAGGGCGCUUGGAUUCUCCUUGCUUCGGAUCUUUCGUAUCCUCAUGGUAUGGCUUCAAGCAACUCACGUGGAAGACCGGAUGGAGUUUUAGCCAAAAGGGCAACUCUAGCUUGUACGACACAUUACCGACACUCUUGAUGAUGGGAAAUGGUCCCUCGUACUUCUGGAUAAGGCUUUUGUACAGUGGACGGGUAGACUUAGGUUGGGAUGGAAAGAUCUUCACUAACACAAUGUCCCCUACAUUGAACUUCAAGUGUCUACGCUUAUUGUCCGCCCACUUCUUCAUCCACAUGGUUGCCUUGUCGAGGUGCGCCCGUGCUAUGUUCGCUUGCUCAUGUCACGACUUAGCCACCUUGUAUGCUGUGGGACACCUCCCGAUGUAGCUCGUGAUGAGUGUGUGUGGCGUUAGCGGCUGUUGUCCCAUGAUCACCUCGAAAGGGCUCUUCAAAGUAACCUCAAUUUGCUGCAAGUUGUAGAAAAAUUGGGCCACUUCCAGUAACUUCACCCAAUCAUGUUGGUUGACGCUCACAAAACGCCGCAAGUACAGCUCUAACAGGGCAUUCAUUCUCUCUGUUUGCUCGUUGGUCUGUGGGUGAAAGCUCGUAAAGAAGUAUAACGCCAACUCCUUUAGCUUAAACAACUCAGUCCAAAACCUCCCUGUAAACCGGCUGUCACGGUCACUAACGAUGGAUUUCAGAAGUCCCCAAUGCUUCACCACAUGCUUAAAGAAAAGCUUGGUCGUGUCCUUCGUAGUGCAUUCAUUCGAGGCGGGAAUAAAAGUGGCAUAUUUGGAGAAGCGAUCCACAACCACAACAAUGGUCGCAAACCCCUCAGACUUCGGAAGACAAGUUAUGAAAUCCAUCGAAAUGUUUUCUCACGGUCGAUCCAGAGUGGAUAGUGGCUCAAGCAACCCUACGGGAUAUUGUUGCUCUGCUUUGUCCUGCUGGCACACUAAGCAUGUCUGCACAAACUAUUCCACCUCAUCCCGCAUCUGAGGCCAAUAGUAUGCCGACUCAAGUAAGGCUCGUGUCCAUCUUUGUCUCGGGUGUCCAUCCCACUUGGUAUCUUGACACUUUUUUAUCAGGUUUUGCCUCAAGUUUCCAUACUUCAAAACAUAGACACGCUGUUCUUUGGUGUAUAAAAGGCCAUCUUUGACCCAAAAUCUUUUUGAUUUCCCAUGCUGCACAAGAGAAACCAGCUGCUUGGCCAAGGGAUCAUGUUUCGUUCCCUCUUUGAUGAGCGUGAAAAGCUCCAUUUGUACUCAGCUCUUAGCAGCAAGCUCGCCCUUUCGACUUAAAGUGUCCGCUACCAAAUUGGCCUUUCUCGGCUUAUACUCCAGCACAUAGUCGAAUUUGGCUAAGAAAUCUUGCCAUCUCGCUUGUUUUAGACUCAGCUUCUUUUGGCUUUGAAAGUAACUAGUGGCCACAUUGUUCGUCUUCACCACGAACUUGGACCUAAGCAAGUAGUGCCUCUAUGUGUGCAAACAGUGCACUACCGCAGUCAUCUCCUUCUCUUGUACCGUAUAUUGCUGCUCCGUAUUAUUGAGCUUUCGGUUUUCAAAGGCUAUGGGAUGUUUAGUUUUCAUUAGUACAACCCCAAUAGCAAAAUCGGAAGCAUCCGUGUGUACCUCGAACAGUAAAGCAUGGUUUGGCAGUGUCAGUACUAACUCUUCCGUCACGGCCUUCUUAAGGGCAUCAAAGGCUUGUUGGCUCUUCUUCAUCCAUUCCCACUUAGUAGUCUUCUUGAGCAAGUCAGUGAGUGGUGCGACAAUGGUGGAACAAUUCCUGAUGAACCUCUAAUAGUAGUUGGUGAGGCCUAAGAAAGAUCGCAACUCUGUAAACUUCGUGGGUAGCUCCCACUUGGCAAUGGCUUGGACCUUAGCCUUGUCCAUGAGCAACGUCACAUCUCUGAUUUUGUGGCCAAGAAAAUCAACCUCCGGUUUAGCAAAUGAGCACUUCUCUCGUUUAACAUAUAGCUCAUUGUCCCGCAACACCUCGAACACAACCUGCAAGUGUUCGGCAUGCUCCUCCAAGGUGUCGCUAUAGACCACGAUGUCAUCGAAAUACACCACCACAAACUAAUCAAGGUAUGGAUAGAAUAUGCAGUUCAUGAGGAUACAGAAUGUAGCCAGCGCGUUGGUGAGGUCGAAAGGCACGACUUUGAACUCGUACGCCCCAUAUCUAGAGCGAUAAAAGAAACAACUAUCCCAAAGGUGAUGAUCAAGGGAUGCAGGCACAUGCUAUAAAAGCUAUCAAACAGAUAGCCAGAGAAACAUCCUUGCAAGUCAUUGAGGAAGCUUGUAACCCAAGAAUGAAGGCAAUAGGGUGAGUAAUCGAGGAUCUUAGGCUUUUUAUUAACGAUAUGAACAAAGCGACAAAUCAAAGGCAAGUAGUUAAUCGCGAGGAAGUAUUUCAGGGAGUCAAUUGUAAAGAACAAGAUUAUAAUAAAAAAAAAGAUACUUCAAGGAGACAAUCAUGAAGUAGUGCCUCAGAGUGUCAAUUGUAAUAUAGUACAUCAGUAUCCAAGCCUACAAGACGAAUGCCUACGUGCAUGCUAGAUAACACAAGUAGAUAAUUUCCUUAAGUAUAUGGAAAAUCCUUAAGAGAAGUGGGUUAAGCUAGUGGCAUUUAAGUUAAAGGGUGUGUCAUCCACAUGGUGGCAACACAUACAAAAUUGAAGAAAAGUUACGGGAGAGCCAAUAAUCAAAUUGUUGGCUAGAAUCCAAAGGAUAAUGGAAAAGCCAAUAGAUUAUAAACAACAAUUAUAUUUGAAAUAUCAGAACUCCAGGCAAGCAAAUUGUAGUGUCGAUAACUAUGUAAGAGAAUUUUAAUCGACCACGAGUGAGAAAUAAUUUGGAUGAGUCAAAGUUUAGAAUAGUUGAAAAUUAUAUUGAUAGAUUGAAAUAAGAGCUUCAAGAUGAGAUCAUAGAGCCACUUUGGAAUAUGGGCACAACGAUCACGAUGGUGAAGUAGUUGGAAGAACGGAAGUAGUUUACUGUUUCUAAAACUCAACAACGUUAAUUCAUUGGUCUGCAGAAUUGGCCAAGUAGUCAUAGUUGAGAACAAGCAAAAGACAUGGGCUAGAAGUAGUCAGUCACAACAACCAUUAGAGCAACAAACAAGACAAUAUCCACCUAGACAGCAACUGUGCCAAUAGCAACCUCAAAAUAAUCCAUAUGCAAAGCCUAUACUAGAUAAGUAUUUAAGGUGUGGGAAACCAAGGCAUCGAUCAAAUGAAUGUCAUGGUAAAGAUUUGAAUUUAAUAAAAGAUAAAGUAGACAAGACAAAGACAAACGUUGUUAAGGAUGGAGAUGAGAAGAAGCAUUAAAUAUUGGUGCAAAUGAAAGAGAGAUACUGAUUGUAUCAUGUAAAAGAUUUUAUUAGCACCAAAGUUUAAAGAUGAUAACUAAUGCAUUAAGAUUUUUAGGACAUGUGGCACCAUUAAUAAUAAUGUUUGAUUUGAUUUCUAAAAAAUAUCACUAAUUCUUAACUUCCUAUAAAAAAAAUGGUAAUACAACCCUAUUUGUAAUUCCAUCAAUUAUUCAAUUUAAACGAAAGCCAAGUGCAUAUUUUAAUUUUCAGUAUUAAUUGCAAUGUGAUAAUCGAUAGAGGUAGUAGCGAGAAUAUAGUUUUGAAGACACUAAUUAACGUGAUGGGACCAUAAAAAAAAAUUAGCACUUUACAAGAUAAGGUGGAUAAAGAAAAGACAGCAACGUGAGUUACAAAAGUUUGUUGUGUUCCUUUCUUUAUUUUAAAGAUUUAUAAGAGUGAUGUGGUUUCUGAUACAAUGGAUAUGGAUGCUUGUCAUCUUUUACUGGGUAGACUAUAAUAGUGUAUUGUUAAUGCAAUUAAUAAAAGAAGGGAUACUAUAUAUGAAUUUUGGUGGAAUAGCAAGAAGGUUCAUUUGGUGCUUUAAACAAAUAAGAAAAAGAAUUCUAAAGCUGAAAGGAAGAGUUUUCUUACCAUUUUUAAGAGUCAUUUGGAGGGUGAUUGUGAUGACCGCAAGAAGUUAAAAAAUGAUAAGGAACUUAAGGUGAAGACUGUUCUUAAUGAAGUAUAAUUAUUGUUAGCUGAUUUUACAUCCUCUAAGAUGCUAGAUGGCCUACCACCUUUGGGAGAUAUGCAGUAUUAUAUUGACCUAGUUCCUGGUGCGAGUAUACCUAACUUGCCUCACUAUUGCAUUACUCUUCAAGAGCAUGCAAUCUUACAAGAAUAGGUUGAUGAGUUGUUGCAAAAAGAAUUCAUUCCUGAGAGCAUGGGUCAAUAUGUUGUACUAGCUUUGUUGAUGCGAAAAAACAAUGGGAGCUGGCGUAUGUAUACAGACAAUAGGCAAAUUAACCAUAUUAACAUGAAAUAUUGAUUUGCUAUUCUAACAUUCUAGGAUUUGUUAGAUUAGUUAGAAGGUGCUCAAAUUUUCUUAAAGAUAGACUUGUGCAGUGGUAUCAUCAAAUUAGAAUUAGGCCUUUAAAUGAGUGGAAAACAGUACUCAAGGCAAAGGCAGGGUUGUACAAGUGGUUUAUGAUGAAAUUCAUGUUAUUAAAUGCGCCAAGUACCUUUAUAUAUUUAAUGAAUUAAGUUGUUUAGCCUUUUUUCCAACAAAUUUGUUGCGGUGUAUUUUGAUGAUAUUUUGAUUUAUUAUGUGGACACGCGUGGAGCAUUUGACAAUGAUUAUAGAGGUGUUGCAAUAAACUUUACAUUAAUUUGAAGAAAUAUAGCAUUUUAUAUAGUAAUGUGGAGUUUUUGGGUUUCAUGGUUGGUAUAGAUGGGAUUAAAUCUAUUGAAUGGAAGAUACAAGCCCUUAUAGAAUGCACUAUGCCCAAGAUAGUGGGUGAAGUUAAGAAUUUUCUCAUGGACUGAUAAAAUUUUAUAGGAGAUUUAUUCGCGAUUUUAGCACUAUAAUCAUGCCAAUUACGAAAUGUUUGAAGAAAUAAACUUCAUAUAAGGAGAAGAGCAAGAGGUGAGUUUUGAUUUAUUAAAAGGAGGAGUUUCUUCCCUCACUUUACUCCAAAUAUGUAUGUGUAUAUUAGUAGGGGUGGGAAAAUUGAGUUUCAGUUUAAGUUGUUCGGGUUUCGGUAUAGGUUACAAUCCAUUCAUGUUGGAAAAUUCAACCCAACUAGACUCGAAACUCAAACCCAAGCCAAAUUGAACCAAAUUGAACUCGGUAUGAAUUCAAGUUUCGAAUCGUAUUAUAUUGAAAAUCCAGGUCUUUAUUUCGAUUUAGGUUACAAUUCAGGUUACAACCUAAAAUUUCAAAUUCACUUUUAAAUGAAUCAAAUCCCAACCGACUAAAUUCCAAAUUCAGCUUCAUAUGAAUCAAAUUCCAGCCUAGAUCAAUUGCAAAAGUUGUUGGUUGUUGAUAGAAGAAGAAAUUAGAAAAGUAAAUAAAUAAGAGAAACUCAUAAGAGUUGUUAUUUUUUACUUAUUAUUAACGAUGGUGAACACCUUCUCAACCAAGCCAUUUCUUUAAGAAUGUCACGACACAAAUUAUGGAAUCAAGAGAGUAAAUAACCAAAUUAUAGUAUUUAAAACCCAUUUCUUUAAGAACCCUAAACCCAAAUUAUAAUAUUUAAAUAACCAUCACCCAAAUUACAGUAAACAACCAUCAAUAACAACACCCAAAGUCCCAAAUCAAAUACAAUAAUUUACCUUGCACAACUGACGACAACAAAUGAAGAUGGAAGCAAUGAUGAGCGACAGUACAGACAAUGGUAGCUAUAACAAGUGUCAUGGCCCAAGCCUCCAAGUAGCAUGGCCUGGCCCAUGGAUGACUCUAGACUCAUGUGUAGAUAUUUCUCAUGUACUUAUUAUAAGUAGGUGGUAGGUGGUAGGUGGUAGUUGAGCAUUAACCCACUCUCUUGUACUCUAUAUAUAGGAGGGGCCUCAUUUGACCAAGACACAAAAGACAUAACAAGCAACACAGUACACAUAGCUUGUAAGCAUUUCAUCGACCAAUACAAGUCUUUUCCUCCCAUCUUGUAUGAGUUUGAGUGAAUAUUCAUUUCGGUUUUCGAAUCCAACAACCGAUUUGAGUGAAAGGCUGACUUAGGGCCAGGAGAGUGUGAAUUUGGCACCUAAGGCCGCACGACACAACGUAGGAUAUAAGUGGGCUGUGACAGUUGGUAUUAGAGUCGUCAACACUCAUGGGGUAGUUGUGUGCGGGACGUGCAUUAUUAACACAUGGGACUUGCUGAAGUGCAAGCUCAAGAAUUAAUUCUAUUCGGGGAAUGUGGCGUAUGAGGCUCGCAAGAAGAUGCGAGAACUGAAGCAUACCACAUCCAUCUCAAAGUAUGUCAAUGAUUUCUUGAAGCUCAUACUCCAAAUCGAUAACAUGGACACGAAUGACUUACUGUUCAACUUCAUGGAGGGACUCGAACUGUGGGCAUAAUAAGAGUUACAGUGACGUUAAGUGAAUGACUUCUCCACAGCCCUUAUCGAUGUGGACAUGCUUGUAGGAUUUUGGAAGCGUGAGUCAUCCAAGGCGAAGAAGGAUGAUAAGCCUCAACAUGGCAAAAGUGGGGGAGCGAAUGGCAGCACCAUGAUGGCAAUGAUAAGCCACAAAAGAAGGAUGACCCAAGGGAUGGUCCGAAGGAUGGCAAGAAGGAAGCCAAAUGCAAGCACAAUUGUUUCCUUUGUGAUGAGGACCAUUGGGUGUGGGACUGCCCAAAGAAUAAAGUUUUCAACGCCAUGUUUAGCGAGACCGGUGAGAAGCAACUGGAGGCACCACCAGCCGACGUCACCAACAUGGGUUGUCUCCAACUCUUCAAUGCACUGAAUGCCAAGCUAAUUCCAGCAAAGGUGCAGGACAAGUCGCUCAUGCACGUCGAGGCCACAAUCAACGGGAAGUAAGCUCAAGCCUUGACUAACACGGGAGCAUCUUAUAACUUCAUCAAGGUAGAUGAGGCCAAGUGGCUUGGACUCAAGGUUGAGAAAACAAAUAGAUGACUGAAGACGGUAAAUUCAGAGGCCAAACAACUUAGCGGCGUAGUGUGGGAUGUGGAGCUACACUUAGGCCCUUGGCGAGUUAAGGCCAAUUUUUUCGUUGUACCUUUGGAUGACUUUGUGCUUAUUUUGGGCAUGGAAUUUUUAUAACACUUCAAUGCGGUGCCACUUUUGAGGUACAACUCAAUGUGCAUCCUGGAGGGAGCCCCAUGCUUGGUCCCGACAGUAAGCAAGGCCACACCACCAGGCCAACUUUCUACAAUGCAAAUCAACAAGUGUUGCAAACGACAUGAGGAGACAUUUCUCGCCACCAUUCAUGAGGCCGAUAAAGAGAAAGACGCUACAGCCAUGAAGCCCAUCCGGAGGCGGUGGCCUAAGUUCUUGAGGAGUAUAGGGACGUGAUGCCAUCUGAAUUGCCAAAACAGUUCCUCCCACGACAGGAGGUGGACUACAAGAUUGAGCUGGAGCCGAGUGCCAAGCUGCCUGCACGAGCACCUUACCGCAUGUCUCCAUUAGAGUUAGAGGAGUUUCAAAGGCAAAUCAAGGCGCUGCUGGACGCGGGAUAUAUCCAGCCCUCGAAGGCACCAUACAGGGCACCGGUGCUGUUCCAACGGAAGCAUGAUGGCUCACUUUGAUUGUGCAUUGACUACUGGGCUCUUAACAAGGUGACCGUGAACAACAAAUAUCCCUUUCCAUUGAUAACAGACUUGUUUGAUCAACUUAGACGGGCCAAGUACUUUCUCCAAGCUGGACCUUAGAUCGUCAUACCAUGGUCACAAACGAAUCUAGCUCUGAUACCAACUGACGAUGUGGAGAUAUAAGAGAUUAAUAGAUAAAAGAAACUAAAUUUUUGAAUAAUGAAAAUUUUAUUGGAAAACUCUAAAUGAACAAAACUAGGAUUUGAGGUCCCUUUUAUAUUAACCUUAAAUAUUACGAAUUUACCAAAAUGGGCAAAUCUGAAAAUUUUCUUUUAUAAUGAAAUUCUCAUAAUCUAAAUAAGGAAAAAAAAUGAACAACACCUAAAUCUGAUAUUUAGAAAAAUAAAAUAAAAAUCCUAAUAGUUAUAGGAAAAAUAAAAAAUAACUAAAAAUUAUAAAACAAUUAAGAAAGAAAUAGAAUUUCUGCCUCGACCACAAGGCAAAACGACAUAAUUAUUCUGAGUUUGCUUCGAAAUAUUACAUUAUACACCCAAAACUGACACCUAUAACCCAAGUUAAAGCCCUCAGAAAGGUAUCUUACUCAUCCUACGCAACCAUCUUACAUCAUUAACUUAGUUUAACGGAAAUGUUUUAAUUGACAUUAGUUUAUUUUGAUAUUCUUGUGUUGGUAAUAUGAUUUUAUACUAUCAAGUUCUGAAAGUAAAAUUAUUAGUUAUUUAAGGAUCGAGUACUCUCGAGAUCUCCUUCUAUCAAUUGCAAUCCCCAUCCCCUCCUCUCAAGUAAUUAUAACAGAGACAGGGAGGGUCCAAGGCCUUAAGCAUAACAUUGUGGAUGGAUAUGGAAUGUCAAUCCCCUUGCCUUUCCUUCCCAUUACCAUCUCUAAUCACAAGAUACAAUUAUUUUUAUUAUCUUUUUUAACUUGUUAAUCAAUCUUUUCAUGUCAUGUAAGCUGUCGUUUUUAUGUAUUGACUUGUACUAUCUGCCAUGCUUAAAAUUGGGGUCUUCUUAAGUUGUAUUUAAUGUAACUUAUAGUCAUUAAAAAUAAAAUAAAAAUAAAAUAUUCAUCUUAUAUAUAGAGAUGGCCAGCAUCAAAGUAAGGCCCAUGCAUGCUCGUACCGGUGUCGUGUCAUGCCCACUAUGUAUUUCGUGUCGUGUUUUGCUUAGACCCACCACAUGUGUCGUGCCGUGCCUAAGAAAAAAAGUCCAAUAAGUUUUUUUUUUUUAAAAAACAUUUUUAAAAACGCAUGUCAAGUUGUUGGCUUACUUUUUCAAGCCUAAGUAUUUUUUUAGGUCUAUACAUUUAUUAAAAUUUAAUAAAAUUAAAAAUUGAAAACUCAAGUCAAUAUUCAAUAAUAAUAAACUAAUAAUAGUAAGAGAAUGUGAUAUUAAUUACUAAAUUUGACCUUAUAGUAUUAGAAUUUUUUUAAUACUUAACAACAACAACAAUAAUAAAUUUUUCUUAAGAGUUAACUUAAUUGUUAACUUGGAUUUACAUUGAAUCAUAGAUCAUAGUUCACAAAAUUAUUAAUGCAUAUCUAUAAAAUCAUGAUAUUUAUAAUUUUAUUUAUUAAAAUCAUGAUAUCAAUUAUUUAUUUAAUAAAUUAUAAAUAUAAAUCAAUUAUAGUAUUUUUAUGAAACUAAAAAUUAAAUGAAUUUAAUAAUUCAAUUUCAAGUUAUUUGUAAAAUUAUAAAAUUUUAAAUUUACUUUCAUUAAAAAAUAAAACGUGCUUAUUGCGGACUUUUUCAUCAUGUCGUGCUUAGCCCAUCUUUAAUUAUACCGUAUUUUUAAGGUCUGCGCGCCUAAAAUUUUGAGCUCGGCGCAGUCCACGUGCGUGCCGUACUGUGCCACGUGCCUUACCAAAACGUGUUCAUGUUGUACCGUGUUGUACGGACACGUGUCGUGCCUAUGCCACAGGCCAUCUAACCUAUUGACUAUCUGUGCACUUAUAUAUUUACUUAUUUGUACAUAUUUACAUUAUUUUUACUAACCGUAAUUUGUAACAAAUAUAACUCAGAGAUUACCAUAAAAUUAUUAUAUCUAAAAGCAUUUUAAUGUUCACUGCUUAUUUUUAGGUUAACACACUAUGGAUAUAGCUUUUAUGUGGAAUCAAUAAAUAAAAGGAUCGGUUCCCAUCACCCUAUGCACGUUUCCCAUUUUAAUGCUUCAUCUAUUUAUUGAUUUUUGUUUGAUACUAUUGACCAUCUGCUGUUCAUAGAGCCCGAUUUAAUGUCAUGUCUGUCUUUAUUUGUCGUCAGGACAAGGACUUUGCUGAGAUGUUUCUCUACUUUUGCAAAAGAUUUUCGAGAUUUAACUUUCUUUUUCUCUAGGUAAUUGGAAAUUGAGUGUUCCUGAUGGCACCGUCUUUUUAGCCAUGCAGGACAUACAAACAUCAAUGAAAUGGACGUGCAGUGGUGUGUACCUAUCCCGUCCAGACGCCCAUGCUCUUUUGUUAGCGGAAAGUUAUUUUACCACAAUACCGCAAUUGUAUAUUAAAGCUUAAUGACAAAGUUCAAAAAAUAUAACCCCAGAAAAAAUCUAAUAAAAAUAUUCUAAUUGGUAAUGAUUUUUUUUUUUAUUUAAUGUACAACAAAAGCUGGGCCUAAUUAGAGAACCGAAGGUGAUUAAUAUUGGAUCAUAUGAUUAUACCUGUAAAUGUACACUGUAUCCUUUUUUCUUUGAAUAAGUUUUGUUUUAUUAAAUUUUAACAAUACAGUAUUAAUCACAUAAUAACAUCAAUGAAAUUUAACUAAUAUGGUGAUCCAAGAGAGAGUGUUGUGAAGUAGUGGCUCAUCACUUUAGUAAAGCACAAAUCCCAUAUGAAAAUAUAACAUCCCUAUAGCUUCCAAUGAUUGUAUAUAUGUGUGAUGCAUGUAAUUGUUUUGAAAAUAAUAAGAAUUGACUUCUUAUAAGUUUAUUAACAAGCUACUUGUACGUAAUUUAUUUUUUAUUUUGUUAGAUUUAUGACAGUGAAACGUGACCAAUAAUAUUAGUUAUUUCUCUUCGAUAAAAAAGGUUAUUUUUUGCUAGUCCCCAUAAGAAUCUAUAAAUGUUACCGUGCACCCUAAGCUUUCAACAACUAUCGCCGCACACCCAUUCCGUUAGAAAUUACCGUUAACCUUAACGAUUUUAUCAGACAUCUGUUGAAAUCACCAUAAUGCCUCCAUAUAAAUUGAAUUGACUGCAAGUGCUAGAAUUAUAAGAACACAUAUUAAUUGGCAGUUGGCACUUUAUUUUUUUUUUAAAAAAAAGAUUAUUAUAGAAUGUGUAAAAACAAUGUUAAAUAUAAACCGAAAAAUAAUUACAAUUAAAUUAAAGCUUUUUAAAGAAAUUAAAUUAAAACUAAAAUUAAUUGGACAUUAUUAGUCCUUGAACCAAAACCCAGAAGACAUCUCCAAUCCAAGCUCCAACAUCAUGGCAUUUCCCAAUAUUUAUAGCAAUAACCAAAUAUCUUCUUUGAAAGCACACAAACAACAACAUAAACUCCCGAUUUUAUAGCAAAAUCAAAAUAAUUUAUAUAUCAAACAAAUUGUCAACUACGCAAACCUAAAAUUCAAUAAACAAUAACAUGGAAACCCAAAAAUUUUGGGAUUGGGAUUUUAUAGUUGCUAGUCACCAUUGUUGGUGCCGCAUCAGUCAACAGCAACCCAUGAUUCUUUGAACUGCCAGAAGCCUCUCGAUAUCGCGUCAAGCUCCUGCCGCUUGUUUCCACCUAGAAAUGGUCACUCGUUGCGGUAGUGCAAUUGGUUAUGUGACCCUUGUGACGUCCAUGGAAGGGGAAAAGCGAAAAACCUUGUUGGUGACGUCCAUGGAAGGGGAAAAGCGAAAAACCUUGUUGGGGAGUGUGAAUAGAGGAGGGAAGAAAAUGAGCACUUGUUGCAGAGUGUAAAUGGAGGAGGGAAGAUGGAGCAUGAGGGGUCACAGAGAAGGAAGAGAAAAAAAUAAUUUUUUUUCUUUUAUCUUUAUUCAUCGUUGUAAUUUUACUAUUCUACCUUUAUAAUAGUUAAGUUGAUAGUGAUUUUUAACGGAAUAGGUGCGCUGUGAUAAUUGUUGAAAAAUUAGGGUAUACGGUACAUUUGAAGAUUUUUAUGGGAGAUGGCGAAAAAUAAUCCUAAAAAAAAUAAUUAUAAUAAGUGGUAGAUAUUUUUGAACGCUAUAAAAGUGAUGAUUGAUAGAAUUUUCAUAUACGUGGCUGUGCUCUGACGAGAAGUACCUGCUAUUUAAUUAUGAAUCGACCUUUUGAAAUCAACUUUUGCACAACUAACAUUUUCUUCCUCUUUUAGAAAGAGUUUUAACUAUGAGGCAUCCGUCCAGAUGCAACGCACAUCUGUCUUAUUUUGUAUUAUUUAUAGAUUCUGAAAAAAUUUAUGAGAGCUCAGACUCAAAGAAUGAUUUCUCAAAAAAAUAAAAAAUAAAAACCUCAAACAAUGAGGUGAUCAAUCUCUAAAACCAUGGAUGCCUUCAAAAAAAAUAUUGAGGAAUCAAUAAUAUUUUUUUAAAAUAUUUAUGAAAAAUAAAACAUGUGCAAUUUUUUUAGAAACAACAAUCUGUGAUUUUUGAGAAAAUUUUUGACGUAUCCAACUAGUAAAAAUAUUUUUUUAUUCCAUCUUAAAAAAAAUGUCUUAUUUACACAAAAUUAGUAAGUUUUUAGAACUUUUCAAUAUAAAUAUAAUUUACAUUCUUGACAAAAAAUUAUUGAUAAAAUGUUAUUGAAUUGUUUUGUACGUUAUAAAAUACUUCUAAUUAGGGUGGGUAAAAUUAUCUGAAGCGAAUCAAACCAAACCAUUUUAAACUCAAAUAAAUCAAUUUGGUUCAUUGAAUUUAAAAAUCUAUUUUGGUUUGAAUUAUUUAAAAAUAAAGGAAACUAAAAUUAGAAAAAAAAAACCCAAACUGAACCAAAACUAUUUGAUUCAAGGGUUUAAAUCGAUUCAAAUGUCUCGAAACCUAAAUUUCUGUAUAGAUGAAAUUCCAAAAUUCCAAUUCCAAUAAUGUAAAUUUCCCCCCAAAAAAUUCCCAAUAAUGUAGAAAAAUCUCCAUAAAUAAUAAGAAAUGGAAAAUUUAUAGAUAUAAAAUUCCAUGUGAUAUGACUACGUUAAUAAUAAAAUUCCAAUAAUGUAUUCGGUAGAUGAUGAUUCUGGGCUUACAGUGAUAUUGACCAAGUCACUUCGGAAAGUGUGGCAUGCUAUGAAUGACAUUGAAAGCAUCCUCAACCACCUCACCUAAACUGCAUUUAUACCUCUGAGCAGCAGCUUCUCCUCUCACUCUGAGAGGCCACAAACAGAACUUCCCAUCAACUCUCCCAAUUGGCUGAGCUAGCUCGAUUGAGACAACAAUAACAACAACAACAAACAGCAGUAGUUGGUGCACAUGGAGAAGAGUAAUAAUAUUGGUGGUGCAGUUGCUGCAAGCUCUCCUCUGCCAAUGAUGGGAUCGAGGGCUCAUCAAGAGAUCAAUGAGGAUGGCAACGCUGCCUUGCGCACAGCUGAGCCCAUUGCACGUUUGGUGCCAAUGGCUCUCUGUGUUGCUGCACUUGUGCUCAUGCUUAAGAACUCUGAGACUAGUGACUUUGGCUCUCUUUCUUACUCCGACCUUGGAGCCUUCAGGUUUGUAGAUUCAUUUUUCUUUCAGUAAAUUGUAUACUUUCCGAGGAUUUCAAGAGACUCAACUGGUAUUGAUUCAUUAUAAUUGUUUAAAAAUUGCCUCAAAUAUGUAGGUAUUUAGUGCAUGCCAAUGGCAUUUGUGCAGGCUAUUCGCUUCUUUCAGCAAUUAUUGCAGCCAUGCCUCGUCCCUCCACCAUGUCUCAAGCCUGGACUUUCUUUUUCCUUGAUCAGGUAAAUAGGGCUCGUUUUUUGCUUGCUUUUGAUGAUAUUCAGCUUGAAUUGAAAUAAUUUCUACAUGAUUCCUUUCCUUAUCUUAAUUAGCUCUUCUGUUAAGCUUUCAACACAUCUUGUGUUAAAGUGUACAUCACAUCAAGGGUAGUGCAUGAUUGGAAUUCGAAUACUCACGUGAAAAUGCUAGUUUGACUUAAAUUUAUUGACAAAAUUUGACAUAAUUUGGACCAAAAACUGAGCCAUCGUUUACAAGUUGUUUCGUUAAUUUUAUGGGCAUUUUAGGGUUUUGAUUGUCGUACGGAAAAAGUAGUGAAAAAAAAUUUCACUUUAUUAUCAUGCUUUAAUAUAAUAAAACAACAGUUUAAUAUUUUUCUAAUUUUUUAUUACUAAUAUUAUAUAAACAACUAUUAAUAUUUAUAAUCAAUAAUUCUUAAGAUUAUUCUACAUUCAAUUUAUGGAAAUUAGUCUAAAUCUUCACUCUUACUAAUAUUUGGGGAUAUAAUAUUUUGUGAAAAAGAAAAUUGUCUCUACUCAAUUAUUUUUCAUUGAGUAAGGAAAUUUGAGUUCCCAUAAAUACUAGUACUCACUAAAUAAUCUUCUUCUUAUUCAUUACCACCAAUUACAUAUAAGUAAGAAACCCAAAUCAGGGAAUCUUCGUCCAUCAUAGUUCUCAAUAACGAGAAACAGAUCCGUAUAGGUCAUCCAAAUUCUAUUAUACAAUUUGUUGGUCAGAUACUUAAAUUUUUUAGUUUUAAAAAUCAAGUUAAAAACAACGGGUACGAAAACUCCCUUAGUGACAAUGACCAAACCCUAAUUUUACUUCAAUUAUAUAACUUUUGUCAAAACAAGAAUCAAAAGCUACUGCUAAAUUCAUGAACCCAGUUGCUCACUUACUUGAUUCUGGCGGCUGGAGCCGUGUCGACGGAGGUGCUGUACCUGGAACGCAAGGGAGAUUUAGCCAUCACUUGGAGCGCAGUCUGUGGUUCAUUUGGUGGAUUCUGUCAUAAAGCUAUAGCAUCAGUGAUAAUUACAUUUGUUGCAGUGGCUUGCUAUGUUGUUCUUUCGCUCAUCUCCUCUUAUAAACUCUUCAGCAAAUACGACGCGCCUAUCGCCUGCUCGGGCAAGAAUAUUGAGGUUGCCGCCUUCCAUGGCUGAUGAUCGCUCACUCAGUUUGAUGCGAUAUAUUGUGUUUGCUCAAGUUACUCCAUGCAAGUGCUUGUUUGUGUUAAUGCAUAAUUGUAAUGUAAUUAUGGUCAUGAUCUUUGCUUUUAGUCUCUCCAACACGAGAAAAUAAAUGAUCUUUGCAAGCUUUGGGUUAUGGAAAUUCUGGCAUGGAUAAAUAAACAUCCUUUGUUUUCAUAUUCUAGCAUGGAUAAAAGGCACUAAUGGAAAAAAUUGAGUACAGAAGAGGAUCUGUAAUUUGAAAUUAGAUAAGAUGCUGUGCUCAAUCAUUUCAUUUUUGAAUCAAUGGAGCAACUAAGAGUUAAAUUUGAAUAACUUAUUGAGAAUAUUUUGUUGGUUAAAAAACAGUUUUUCUAAAAAAAAAACUUUCAGGAUCAAUCUCAUAUAAUACAUAAAAAUUCGUAAUUUAAAAAAUUAUACCUUAACAGUUUGAGAAGAUGAACAAUCGAAAUUAAUCUAGGCCCUCAGAUCACGAUCCGUCACCUACCUUUUCCUGUUAGAUCACGAUCUGUCACCACCACGCUUGUUAAAUCACGAUCCGUCACCACCACGUUUCCACUGCGCUUGUUGGAUCACGAUCUGUCACCAAAUAAUCUUCCAGGCUAUGACUCAAAUUUGAUCAGCACUGGACGUGUGGGCGUCUGUUUCACUACUUCCAAAAUAGUUGGCUUAUUUUUCAGUGUUUUUCUCAAAACGUGUAUUUUAAAUCACGUUCAUCUUUAGGCUUGAGAAAAAUACACUUAUAUAAUAUCUCUUGUAAAACCCUAAAUAUGUAUUAUUAUCAUUCAAAAUAAUAAAUAUUUUGAAUUUAAUAUUAUCUCUCCGAUUACGUGAAAGUGGAGAUCAUUUGCAACCACUUUGGGGCCCACCUUGUAAAAUAACACAAGGCCCCAUUUACCCAUGAAUAUAAUACAUAAGGUUUAAACAAAUAUUAUAAUUAGGUUUAACACCUAAUAUGCUAGUUUUCUUGUUUUUAGGUCCAGUAGUGGUGUAGUCAAUUAAAUGAGCUAACCUGUGGAUAAUUUGAGAACAUACAAUAGUGGCUAUAACAAUUAAGCUUGUAAAUGAACAAGUCUAAUCAUUUAAUUCCAAUUCUACUCCACUAUAAGAUUGGAACUGACCUCCAUAAUUGUAUGCUUGAAUAAUAAUUUGUCUCAAGCCACAUUGAUUUCUUUACUGCAUAAUCCUUUGUACCACAUCGUUAAUUAAAUCGAUAUCUCAACUCUACAAUCAAUUUAAUUACAUCUUAUUCCUUGAUACUUACUAGUUUUCUCUAAUGAUCAUUUUCAACAUACUAAAUAUGUUGACACACUUUGACAAGAGAAUUUUAUGAUCAAGUGCCGAAAACUUAUCAAGAGAUGUGUUGUACAAAUUCUAUAUUGUUAAUCUAUAACUUCAAUGCUCAUAAUUGCUCCCACUAAGAUAUCGGGUAAUCUUGACUACAAGUAUGUGUUGUGCUCAUUGGUAACUCAAAUGGAAUAACAAUUACAAUCAUGAAAUUAUAACUAACUCAAGAUUAAGAUUACAGUAAAAUCAAUGCCUAUGAGAUUUAAUAAGUUUGACAGUCAUUUCAAUGUCAAUUAAACUCAUAUGUGAUCCAGCUCAAUGUAGUCAAACUACAUCAGUAAAUUUAGACAUGAUUAAGACAAAUCAUUCAAUGAAUUUACUACAAUCUAAACAUAAAUAGAGCGCCCAACUCUAUUUAUCAACUGCGAACUUAAUUUAUUUAAUCAUAAGAUAAGUUGUAUUUAUGUCUUCCGUGAAUCCAUAUGAUGAUCAUAUAAAUACAUAUAAUAUGAUUAAACAGACCUUAUUCAAAAUAUUUAUGCAAUUAAAAAUAUCUCAAAUAUUUUAUUGAUCAGAAAAUAAAUAAAUAAAUAUAUUUUAAAAGAGCACAUAAUCCCAACACAUUUCUCAUCGGAGCCUGACAUAGUUUUGAUCUGCCAUUAUAGCACCAAAAAUUUUUCACAAUAGGUUUUAUAAGGUAAUGUAUAAUCAUUAGGGAUUCAGAUCUACUUAUUCUAUUCUUAGCUUCCUUUUUAGAUCUAUUGAUCGGAGGUUGGGAAGAGAAAAAGAAUAAAUCGAUACAUUUAAACUAUCAUAAUUAAUGUACACGUCCGCGAGUCUUGAAAGACAAAUCAAGUCAAGAUGAUGAUAAUAGAGUAUUCAUUUUCAUAUAUCAUAAUUGAGACGUAUCAGUGGAGAAUUCAAUCUCCAUAUGGCACUGUAUAGUCCUUGUAAAAUAUCACUUAAUUCCCCAGUCAAAAUUCAUUUAAGCCCCCAUUGAAAGAGUUUUUAAACCUUUGGUUGAGAAUGGUAGCUUUUGUUGAGCCCCAAUCUAUUUUACUUGUUUUCCCCAUUAAUCUUUUAAACUAAAUAUAUAAUAACAUUCAGGUUUACUUUUAAAUAUUUGUUGUACUAUUUUCAUAUUUUAUAUUAAAAUAACUACUUAAACUUUACCAGUUUUUAAUAAAUUGAGAAUUUUACUCAUUAGUCAUCUCUGUUUACACAAAUAAAGAUUGAAAAAAAAUCAACAUUAUUUUUAUGAAAAACCUCAAUUUUAAUUGCCUCUGAGCAGGUAGGUAAGUGGUGUUAAAACAAUUUUAUUUAGCUGACGAAUCAAAUUCAAAUUUUGGAAAAAUUAAAGCACUAUAAAAUUUUAACCAACCUUACCUUUUUAAAAAGAAAAAUCAAUUUAUAAAUUUAAUUUAUUGAUAAGGACGACGAGAUGGCACAGAAGAUUUAAACACAAGAAAACAAAAUAAAAACAAGAAGGAAAAGAAAUUAAAAAAAAAAAAGAAGAAACAAAACUACAUCAAAAUGAAUUUUUAUAAUCAUAGGGAAUAGGGAUGGACGGAUAGUACCUGACACGAUCGUGCUUCUUUGGUCUUUUAUUUAUUUAUUUUUUUCAGUUUGUUUUUUUCCCUGCUGAUCAACUCAUUUUGUGAUCUUUCUUUUAUCCACACCAGACAUUUUCCUCAGCUCUAAAAUAAAUCCGAGUACAUUCUUCUCAUCUUGAAGAGACUUGGAAACAGAUUCUCACUGCUUGCAUCUUUUUGCCCAUGCAAUAAUUUUGGGCCACUCAGUCUCAAAGAUGAAUUGACCCAAUGUUUCAUAUGAGUGAAACCAACAAUAGAAAGGAAUAAAAGCCACAUCCACGAAACCGAACAUUUUCUCCCCAAAAUGAGGAUCGUCUCCAAGCUCUUCCUGCAAUGUUUUCAGAAUUUCAAUUAAUUCCUUCGUUACUUCCUCCAGUUGUUCUGUUUUUAAGGCCCAUAUCUACUUUCCAUCUGUAUAAAUCUGCAAAUAAUUAUUUUACCUCAUUUAAUAACAUUCGUUAUUUAUUUACUAGAGCAACAAUUUUUUUGAUUCAUGACUAGGACAGUUUAUUUUUCGACUGAAUGUAUAUAGUGAAUAAAGAUUAUAUUUAUUUUUUAGCCUCUUAUCUCUUCUGCAAUUCGAAUUCGGAUGGCAAACUAAAUAAAACUGUUUGAAAGCUAUUCUACCAAAUCACUUGGAGACCAAAACACUUAUUAAAAAACAUUUGUAUAAAUUAAGAUAUAAUCUUUUUAUUAUAUUAAGAACCUUUAUCUUACUCAAUGUUUUAUAACAAUCAAUUUAUAAAAAAUAUAUAUAUAUAUAUAUAUAUUAUUUAGAUUUUUAAAUUUGUAUCUAUUCAUAUUUUAAUCAAAUUCAAAUUUCAUAUGAAAAAAAUGAUACCUAAAUUUUAUCGUUUUAGAUACCAAAAACUACAAUCAAAACUUAGAACAAAUAAAAAUAAAUAAAAAAGAAAGAAAGAUAGAACACCAAAAUUGCCAUAAAAUAUUAACUCUAUCAAUCAUAAUAUUAAACAUACAUUCUUGUCAAUAUAAUUGGGGACUAGCUUCGCACCUCACCCAAGGAACUCAAGGGUGCGUAGCUUGCUUGUUAAAGAGGUGUUUCUGUUCCUCUGUUGUGGGAGAGUUUUUCCCUAGUUUGGUCCUAUAAGAAGAGUUCUCUAGACUUUGUUAUGAUCAUAAAGACUACUUAGGCGCUUAGCCACUCCUAUAUUGAAGCUUAGGUCAUAGUUUUGGCAGAAAGAGGAAUUGUAGCAAUCUUUGAUCAAAGAGCGUUCGUGCUUCGGUGAUUCAACUGCAUCACAGUUGAUUCGAAUAGAAAACGGUGCUUUGGAUUGGGAGCAAUCAUUAAUGAUUGGGAAAAAAUUAAGGGGAAGGAUAAAGAAAAGAGUGAUGUUGUUGAUGCUGAAAAAAAAAAAAAAACUUCAACAGCUGAAUUUAUUUUAUGGGGGAUAACAGCACGAACCCAACCUCAAAUGUCAAUUCGAUCACAAUGUUUCAAAUCUGCCAACCACAAAACAUGGUUAGGAUGCAAUGGAGGGGAUUCAGGCAUAGAUCCUCCAAUAUCUAAGUUAGAUAUUUGCCAUAUAAGAAGGGGAAAUGGGUUGGAAAAAUUAGAGAUAAUGUUGGAAUUCCAUGGAUUUUCGGUGUUGUUGUUGAAGAUCAUGUAGUAAGUAGAAUGGUUGAAAGGUUGAUAACUUGUAGAGUUAGUUGAAUUCUUCAUCUAAUGCUCUCUUUAGCUUAAAUAGGACCUGGAUUGUGGGUGGUAACCUCCUCGAUUUCAGCACACUCUCCAACAAGUACCGGUAGUUGUCUAUCAAUUGAGGGUGCUUGAAAAUGUAGUGGCACAUAACUUUCCUAAAAAAUAAGCCACAUUUAUCAAACAAAUUUUCAAGUCCAACAACUUUAGGUUGUACUAAUAACCAGGUUGGCGACAUAAGCUUCAAGUUAUAUUUACAGACUAGGUUACUAAUAUAGGUUUAUGGUUGUACUUAUAAACCAGGUCGCCAAUAUAGGCUUAGGGUUGUACUUACAGACCAUGUCGCCAACAUAGGCCUGAGGUUGUACUUAUAAACUAGGUCACCAAUAUAGAAUUGAGCUUGUACUUAUAAACUUAGUCGCUAACAUAGGCUUCAAGUUGUACUUAUAGUCAGUUGAAUGGCAAUAGGUUCUGAGUGCGCUUGGGUCAGCUCUUUUUUUUUUUUUAAAAAAAAAAACUUGAAUUUGUUUGGGUUUGUGAAAAUAUGGUGACUUGUCUUAAGCACCAUCUGCUUGUUGCGUUAUCACAUUUUUUAAUGAUAAGUGCAUAUUUUUCAUAUAUUUUGUUAUUAAUUUCUCUGUCUUUUUCUUGUUUUGAUCUUAAAUAUUCUAGUUAUUUUAGUUAAAUUUUAAUUGAAUAGGGAAUUAAUUAAUAUACAUAUUUUACCCUUUUAUUAUAUAUUUACUAGUUAUUUUUAUUUCUUAUUUUUAAUUAAUUGUAUUAUUUUAUUGAAUAGGGAAUUAAUUGGAGAUUAUGAANNNNNNNNNNNNNNNNNNNNNNNNNNNNNNNNNNNNNNNNNNNNNNNNNNNNNNNNNNNNNNNNNNNNNNNNNNNNNNNNNNNNNNNNNNNNNNNNNNNNNNNNNNNNNNNNNNNNNNNNNNNNNNNNNNNNNNNNNNAACCGAGUGGAAGAAAUCAAAGCAAUUAAUCCAAUUGAUAAAUGUUGAAUAAUUAAAAGAUUUAAUUUUUUCCAAUUGGCAAUUGGAGUACACGUGCAUGGCAUUGCAAAAGUGGAAAGCAUUUAAACGGGCCCGCAAUUGACUUUCAAAAGUUGGAAUUAAUGGCUUUUGGUGGCGUUAAAUUGGAAAAGGAUUUCAAUUAGAAUUGAAAAAUGAUUUCUUUAUUCUUGUUGGAGAAGAAUUCGGUCAACUAGCAUUAUAAAAGGAGAUUGCAGCCGCUGGAUAGAAAAAAAACAAAGGAGAAGAAUUCGGGCAGCAAGAGACUUUGGAAGAGGGCAGAUCCAAUUGGGCAGCAAGAGGAAAAUCAACAGCCGCUUGAAUUAAUCUCCAUGAUUGGUUUUAUCAAUUCUCUUAUUUCCAAUUCAAUUAUGUUAGGCUAGAUUUUUAUUUAGUUGAGGGUGAAUUUAAAACCCUAAACAUGCUAUGCAAUUAAAUUUAAAUUCUAUCAUUUAAUUUAUUUAAUUGAGAUUGUUUAUGUUCUUCUAUAAUUAAUGUUCAUGGUUUAUUCUUAUUUUAUUUGAGUGGCCAAUUAGAUAGGACUUGAAUAAAUUUUAUUGCUAGAUUAAAAUUCUUGAUCCGUAAUUGUCUUGAUAUUUUAAUCAUUAGUAGCAGGUUGGAAUUAAUGAUUUCAAUUGGAGAACAUAACUUAGGUUAAAUAAUCCGAGCUUGUGUGUUUAUUGCCUAGAUCAACCUAAUAUCUUUCUUUGUUUAAUGCUUCCAUUAUCUUAAAUUUAAAGAGCUUGUUUUAAAUUAUUUAAUGGUUAGAGAUUAUGUGAAGAGCUUGUUUUGCCUAACGACACACUAAGGAAAGAUUGAGACUAACAGAGCUUAUUGUUGUCUACGGUUGAUAGUUUCAAUAUAAAUUGAUGAUAGAAUUAAUAUAUUAUGUGCAUGUUUGGUGGUGGCGAAUGAUCCUUUAACCAAAGUUUUCAUCAUUAUUAUUUCUUUCUCCUUUAAUUAGAGUUUUUAUUAAAUUCUUGUUCGUAAUUUUAAUUUCUUUAUUUCUUACUAUUUAGUUAAAAAUUCAUAAACCCCCCUUUUAUUUUUAAUUGGCAUUUUCUUUAGUUAGAUUAAUUUAUAUUAUUAUUACUAUUACUAUUAUUAUUAUUAUUACUAUUAUUUUAUUUUAAAUCUUGCUUUGGAGUUAAUAAUAAAUAUAACUAGCAUAGUCUCUGUGGGAUCGAUCCUUACUCGCUUUGUACUAAUUAUUUAUAUUAGUGGUAAGGUUUUAAAUUUGGUGCACCUUAACGACACUACCAAAUUUUAUGAUAUGCCUCUUACAUGUUCUACUUUUUAUGAGCCGACUUCAUGUAAAGUGUUAAGGCAGGUGUAUAAUAUGAGUGAUGCUCUUAAGACUUUUAGAGAGAAUAAUAUGUUUACAAUUCUUUUUGAUGCUAGGGAGGAAAAAUUCUAAAAACAUUGCAAAGAUAUUCCCCACCUAUUUAUAUUUGCAGUAGUGUUGGAUCCUACAAUCAAGACAGUUAGUGCAAAACUUUUAGCUGAUGGUAUUACAGAAAAUUCACUCACAGGACUAUAUAUAAAUUUUCAUACAAUUAUGUUUUUUAUGAAUGAACUUUUUGUUAGCCUAAAGGGUUACACAUAAUGUAAUUUUGAUGAUAACAAACAUGUGUCUUAAGUGAUUUGGUAAAUAUUAUAUUUCACAUUUUCAUUAGUUCUUGAAGAAUAAUAUUUAUGAUGAAGUGAACGGACAACGGCGCGAUCAAGAAUAAAGUUUAGAGCUCAACGGACUCAUUUUGCAACAAUUCUUGUAAAGCCGGUAUGAUUUAAUAUAUGUAUGGUUUAGCAUUUGAGAAGUUCAAGAUUUCGUUUAAUAAAUCAUUAUUUUUCAUAAAUCAAAGGUUUUACAAUUAUAAACCAAGCAUUUUAUGAAAUUUUUUAUUUUUCAAGAUGUGAACUAAAAUGAAAAAGUUUUACAAUCUUUGAUUUUAAUAAGUAUUGUUUUGAAUUUCGGUUUUGGACAUAUUUUUUGCAAAUAUUUGAAACAUUUUGUUUCUCCUUUAAUUAGAGUUUUUAUUAAAUUCUUGUUCGUAAUUUUAAUUUCUUUAUUUCUUACUAUUUAGUUAAAAAUUCAUAAACCCCCCUUUUAUUUUUAAUUGGCAUUUUCUUUAGUUAGAUUAAUUUAUAUUAUUAUUACUAUUACUAUUAUUAUUAUUACUAUUAUUUUAUUUUAAAUCUUGCUUUGGAGUUAAUAAUAAAUAUAACUAGCAUAGUCUCUGUAGGAUCGAUUCUUACUCGCUCUGUACUAAUUAUUUAUAUUAGUGGUAAGGUUUUAAAUUUGGUGCACCUUAACGACACUACCAUUUAAUAUAAAUUUUGCUAGGUUUUAGAAUUGUCCUACUUUGUUCUAUGCAGUCACUGAUUAAUAAAGUAACAUGGUGUCUAGUUGGAGGUUACUAUCAUUUUGCUUUGUUGAUGUACUGUGUAUUGGUAUUGAAUAGAAAGUUAAGGUUUUAAGGUUUAGGCAGCAAUGGAGUUUAGAGGCAACAAUAAUUUGCUUUGAGAAUUUGUAAAAUGCAGUUAGAAAUUCGUUAAAUGGGUUCAGUGAUGUUGAAUCGGGAAUGAACAAUAAUCAAGAAAUCAGAGGAGAUAAUGAACUAGAAUCAAAUUACAGUGUAAUUGUAAUUGUGGGGAAUGAUCUACACAGGUAGGCCGGUGACAAAUCCGAUGAUAUGUUGCUUAAAAAUAAUGGAGAUGAACAUGAGUAAUACAUCAUGAAGAAUUGAAAUUUGAUACAACAAUUGAAGAGAUUAAAGACGAGUCCAGAUUCCAAAUGAUAUUACACUUAGGUUAUUGAGGGAAGAUGAGAUAGCCAGUGGAUUAGGUGAUGGAGAAAUUGCGGUAUACAUAGAGAUGAGUAAACUUGGUUUCAGGUUGCCAAUUCAACCUUAUUUUGCUCGAAUUUUGGUAAGGAUGGGUUUGAGUCACGGUCCACUUAAUUUAAAUGGCUGGAGGGUUUUAGGUGAUAUGUAUGUUUUAUGGGCCGAGUAGAACAAUAUUGAACCUUGUUUUAAGGAACUCACACACUUGUAUCUAUAUAGUAAACAUGGGGUAUGUCAUAAAAGAUAAUACUCUUUUGUCCAAAUCAAAAGGUAGAAGAGUAAUGCUCGACUUUUCGAGCUCAUGUAGGGGUUUGAAAAGUAAACACUUUGUGGUGGGUGGAAAUUAGGGUAAGGAUGUAGAAUUAAAAAAGGGUUGGUCUAAAGUUCCUACUCAAUUUAAUAGACCACGUAAAGAAAGUUUUAUUCAGGUUGAGGUAAGAAUAGGGUUGUAAACUAACACUUGUGUUUUGUUGUAUUGACUUGGAAGAGGAACAUUGGCAUAGAUGACAAAUUAAAUGCAAGAAUUAACAAAGAAUUUUUAAAUGUAGAGGACUCGAAGCUUUUGUUAGCACCUGAGAGAUUGCUUAGCACUGUUCUCAUUUCCAAUUUACCCCAAAAUUGUUCAUGCUACAAUUUUGGUCUAUGUAUGUAUUACAAACUUCCUCAAAAUCUCUUAGAUGCAAAUAUGGAUUCUCAUAUUCUAAACCAUGAAAUGUUGGUAAAAGUUGGAUAAUACAUGGUUUGAAGUUGAAUCGAGACGCUUCUAGAGGAAAUACUAUACGUGACGGUGCUCUGGUUCUCAUUGGAUUCAUGUAAUCUCUCAAAGUUCUUAGUUGAUUCUGAUCAUGUUGAGAUUAGUUGUCUCCCUGAUCAACUGGAGGAUUAAAUUGGCCUAAAAUGUUUUCAUCUUGGAUCUCGUCCAUGAUUGGUGGUGGUGAUUGAGAUCUACGAAUUAACCUACCACUUGAAGUUCAAGACCAACGUCUCAUGCAAUGAUGAUGAUGUGUAAGUAUAAAAUUAUGUUGUAAAGUUGAUACACGAACAAAUGACUAACAAAUAAAAAAUGAAAAAUUACACAAAUUGAAGACAAAAGGAAAAUUAAAUAAAUAAGAUAAAUGUACAAAAAAAUAAACUAAAAUUUAAUUAACUAAAAUUAAAAUAACUAAAUAGGCAAUAAACCAAACAUAUAAACAAGGUAAAAGCCAAAAAUAAAAUAAAUGCAAAAAUUAAAUUGCAGAAAUAAAUAAAAGAAAAAAAGAAAAGAAAUAAUUAAAGUGGAGGCUCUUUUUCUUUUCUUUUUUCAAAUUUUAAAAAUUACCAACCAAUUAGUGAUUAGUUCAAAUUAAUGGGCCUUGUAAUUUUUAAAGUCAAAAUUCAUUUUAUUGAAUCCAAAUUAGGUCCAAAGAAAUUGAAUUUUGGUCCAAGAAAGUUCAAGUUAUAUGUCCGAAUUUGAGAUUAAUGGGAAAUUUUGCCAAGGGACCUAUUCGAAAAUGUUUUGUGAUUUGGUGGUCCAACCGUAAUUAUGAGAAGAAUGAGCCAGAAACUUUUUGUGGUACAACUGAAAUUAUGAAAGAGUUGGGGAUUGAACAAAAUUUAAGAAACGAAAAAGGGGGUAAAAGAAAAUUUACAUAAAAAGUUAAAAAAAAAGAAAAAAAAACAAAAUAAAUACCUCUCCUCGGCAACGGCGUUAAAAACUUGACACGACUUUAAAGUAAUUUCUAACUCCCAAAUAUAAGAGUGUCUUGUUAGAUUAUAACUCGGUGAGUCUGAGGUCGAUCCACAAAUAAAUGAUUUAAUUUUUUUAUUUAAGUUUAUCAAAAACAUUAAAUUAAAAAUUAAAAAUAUGCAAUUUAAUUUAAGAAAAACUAUGAAAUUGAAUUAGUUAGGGUUAUGGAUCCACUUUUAGUAAUAAAUACAAUUUAACAAUUCUUUUUAUUUUUAUUUUAUUUCUCAAAAGAUUAAUUGUAUAAAUUAAAAUAAUUUUCCCAUUAAUUUUAUUAUAGAUUAAGAACUUAAUGUGCCAAA
This 30124-nucleotide long non-coding RNA is filed under the name Citrus sinensis (sweet orange). RNAcentral's name for it is "long non-coding RNA (CSIN_LNC002071)". The record is from RNAcentral. Lineage: Eukaryota; Viridiplantae; Streptophyta; Magnoliopsida; Sapindales; Rutaceae.